RNAcentral lists this ribosomal RNA (1388 nucleotides) under uncultured bacterium. RNAcentral describes it as "16S ribosomal RNA". It matches the Rfam family "Bacterial small subunit ribosomal RNA". The record is from RNAcentral.
AGAGUUUGAUCCUGGCUCAGGACGAACGCUGGCGGCGUGCCUAACACAUGCAAGUCGAACGAGAAUCAGUGGAACGGAGAUUCGUCGAAGGGAAGCUGAGGACAGUGGCGAACGGGUGAGUAACGCGUGAGGAACCUGCCUUUCAGAGGGGGAUAACGUUUGGAAACGAACGCUAAUACCGCAUAAUGUUACGGGACUGCAUGGUCUUGUAACCAAAGGAGCAAUCCGCUGAUAGAUGGCCUCGCGUCUGAUUAGAUAGUUGGUGAGGUAACGGCCCACCAAGUCGACGAUCAGUAGCCGGACUGAGAGGUUGAACGGCCACAUUGGGACUGAGACACGGCCCAGACUCCUACGGGAGGCAGCAGUGAGGGAUAUUGCACAAUGGGGGAAACCCUGAUGCAGCAAUGCCGCGUGAAGGAUGACGGUUUUCGGAUUGUAAACUUCUGUUCCAGAUCAUGAAAAAAAUGACUAAUCUGGCAGCAAGCCACGGCUAACUACGUGCCAGCAGCCGCGGUAAUACGUAGGGGGCGAGCGUUAUCCGGAAUUAUUGGGCGUAAAGAGUGCGUAGGUGGUUACCUAAGCGCAGGGUCUAAGGCAAUGGCUCAACCAUUGUUCGCCCUGCGAACUGGGCUACUUGAGUGCAGGAGAGGAAAGCGGAAUUCCUAGUGUAGCGGUGAAAUGCGUAGAUAUUAGGAGGAACACCAGUGGCGAGGGCGGCUUUCUGGACUGUUACUGACACUGAGGCACGAAAGCGUGGGGAGCAAAAAAAAUUAGAUACCCUGGUAGUCCACGCCGUAAACGAUGAGCACUAGGUGUCGGGGGCCGCAAGGCUUCGGUGCCGCAGUUUAACGCAUUAAGUGCUCCGCCUGGGGAGUACGCACGCAAGUGUGAAACUCAAAGGAAUUGACGGGGACCCGCACAAGCAGCGGAGCAUGUGGUUUAAUUCGAAGCAACGCGAAGAACCUUACCAGGACUUGACAUCCCACUGACAGAUCCCUAACCGGAUCCUUCUUCGGACAGUGGAGACAGGUGGUGCAUGGUUGUCGUCAGCUCGUGUCGUGAGAUGUUGGGUUAAGUCCCGCAACGAGCGCAACCCUUGCCAUUAGUUGCCAUCAUUCAGUUGGGCACUCUAAUGGGACUGCCGGGGACAACUCGGAGGAAGGUGGGGAUGACGUCAAAUCAUCAUGCCCCUUAUGUUGUGGGCUACACACGUGCUACAAUGGCCGGUACAACAAGAAGCAAAACCGCGAGGUGGAGCAAAUCUCAAAAACCGGUCCCAGUUCGGACUGCAGGCUGAAACCCGCCUGCACGAAGCCGGAGUUGCUAGUAAUCGUGGAUCAGAAUGCCACGGUGAAUGCGUUCCCGGGUCUUGCACACACCGCCCGUCA